CCCCUUGCCGACCAUUGGCUUACAAAAGAGCCCGGUAACAAUUACAGCCAAUGAGAUAUGAAGGAAAGGUUUUUGAGAAGUGUGGAGAGGCUUGGGAAAGCGUUCUUGUUUUACAAAGAAAUGUCACUCUCACUACGAUCUUCACAUUUUGUUGUGUGAAGAUGUUAUGCUUACAGCUGUUGCCGCCGUCUUUUAUCCACAAGGUGACGAACUAGAGGACCGGCUGACACCCUGAGGAUGGCAGAAGAGAAUUUUGUAGAGAGUCUGGUCCUUGGUGAUAUUGUUGAGCUACUAAAUUAACCAACCCUGAACCUGCCAUCCCUCAGACUGUUCCUCCUUUGAGAAAAUAAUACUCUUUAUUGUUUAAGCCAAUUUGGGUGAAGUCCUUUGCUACUUACGGCCAAAAAAACUAAACGUGAGAAUCCAGCUCUGGUCAGAAGAUUGCCCAGUGUGCAAGGACUCCAAGUGAGGUGAGUUGAUCGAGUUCUUCAAAUGGUGAAUAGUCCCGUGUCUCAUCAUCCACUUUCCCAUAAGGACCGGACAAUCGAAUCCUCCAGUGAGCCUUUCCCCAGACUCUGUGAGGUGAACAUUGCCACAUUUAACCUCCAUUUUGGGGAACUUUGGAAUGUUUUAGGUGGAUUUAAGCCCUGAGAACUGAAGAAUUUCUCCCAGUCUUCUAAAGUCACAGUCUGUUGGGGACUACUUGUGCGGUGGUUGCCAGGGUCUGGGCUCCGACCUACCGGUCCUCUCAGCUCUCCACACUGUGGCCUCAGGAGAGAGGGGAAGGACAGCGAGGUGGGGAGACACGCACAGGGCUGAGGGAGAAGCCCCACUCCCGCCCUGAGUCCACCGUGGUGCUGUCUGUCCUGUACUGUCAGCCAGUGACUGCUGGCAUGAGGAAGCUUCUUUGGGGAGAAAUAUUUUUUCUCUCUUGCUCUCUGACAAAUUUCCUUUAAAUUGAUCUCACUGUGUUUAAAAUUUUUAUCGCUACCAUAAUGCAAUCUGGUGGUUUCAGAUUCUAUUUGCAGCUCUAACUAACUUUAUGAGCCUUCCUCCAUAUAAACUCUUUUCAGGGUCAUUCGUUGGUUGAAAAUGGGAUAAGAGUAAACUGUCGUUCCCAGGCAAACUUUUGUUGAUGAAUAUCACCUAAGAUAAGACCUGGUAGGAGACGGGCUUUAGAUAGCAGGAUCUGAACACAAGGCAGCAGUUCCCGUGAUGGGGGACGUUGAUGAGUCUCCGGUUAGACAGGGCCCUUCUAGACCUGGAGGAUGAAAUCAGCAUGUUGUCCAUCAAGCAAAGACAUUUAAAAGCAUCUAAAGAGGCAAAAAGCAUCCCCAGAUCAGUAUUCACAUGUAGGCGUUACAAGGCAAAAUACAGAAGCAUCACUCAGAAGGCCUGCUGGUCGUUUACGGAAAUGAACACAGCAGGGAGCUGUGCCGAGACACUGAGAAGUCACUGUUUCCUGGGCAGGGUUGAGCAUUUGCCACGUGCCGGGCUUUACGUACAGUGUCUCAUCAACUUCUCCCAACAGUACUCUGAGUUGGGUAAUGUUAUUCUACUUCAGAACAGGAAAGCAGACAGAACAGUCAGAUUAAGUAGGCUGU
Molecule: long non-coding RNA, 1604 nt
Filed under: Equus caballus (horse)
Lineage: Eukaryota; Metazoa; Chordata; Mammalia; Perissodactyla; Equidae
Description: lncRNA (ENSECAG00000051908.1)
Source: RNAcentral